GCUCAGGAUGAACGCUGGCGGCGUGCUUAACACAUGCAAGUCGAACGGGGGUAGCAAUACCCAAGUGGCGGACGGGUGAGUAACGCGUGAGAAUCUGGCCUUAGGAGGGGGAUAACCGUUGGAAACGACAGCUAAUACCCCAUAUGCCGAGAGGUGAAAUAAAAUUUGCCUAAGGAUGAGCUCGCGUCGGAUUAGCUAGUUGGUGGGGUAAUGGCUUACCAAGGCUGCGAUCCGUAGCUGGUCUGAGAGGAUGAUCAGCCACACUGGGACUGAGACACGGCCCAGACUCCUACGGGAGGCAGCAGUGGGGAAUUUUCCGCAAUGGGCGCAAGCCUGACGGAGCAACGCCGCGUGAGGGAGGACUGCCUGUGGGUUGUAAACCUCUUUUCUCUGUGAAGAUAAUGACGGUAGCAGAGGAAUCAGCAUCGGCUAACUCCGUGCCAGCAGCCGCGGUAAUACGGAGGAUGCAAGCGUUAUCCGGAAUGAUUGGGCGUAAAGCGUCCGCAGGUGGCAUAACAAGUCUUAUGUUAAAGCGCGGAGCUUAACUCCGUAAGGGCAUAGGAAACUGUUGAGCUAGAGUACAGUAGGGGUCACGGGAAUUCCCGGUGUAGCGGUGAAAUGCGUAGAUAUCGGGAAGAACACCAGCGGCGAAAGCGCGUGACUGGGCUGUAACUGACACUCAUGGACGAAAGCUAGGGGAGCGAAAGGGAUUAGAUACCCCUGUAGUCCUAGCUGUAAACGAUGGCAACUAGGUGUUGGACGUAUCGACCCGUUCAGUGCCGUAGCUAACGCGUUAAGUUGCCCGCCUGGGGAGUACGCUCGCAAGAGUGAAACU
Molecule: ribosomal RNA, 835 nt
Filed under: uncultured bacterium
Lineage: Bacteria
Description: bacterial SSU rRNA
Rfam family: Bacterial small subunit ribosomal RNA
Source: RNAcentral